UAUAAGAUCUUCUACUAAGGUCGCCCACGUCCUGUGGGCAACGUAGAAGUCAACACAUCCUGUG
Molecule: small RNA, 64 nt
Filed under: Gracilibacillus phocaeensis
Lineage: Bacteria; Bacillati; Bacillota; Bacilli; Caryophanales; Bacillaceae
Description: Bacillaceae-1 RNA
Rfam family: Bacillaceae-1 RNA
Source: RNAcentral